This 234-nucleotide long non-coding RNA is filed under the name Capsicum annuum. RNAcentral describes it as "long non-coding RNA (CANN_LNC015521)". Lineage: Eukaryota; Viridiplantae; Streptophyta; Magnoliopsida; Solanales; Solanaceae. The record is from RNAcentral.
GUCAGUAGAUCUAGUAGCUGAGGAUUCUGAGGGCGAAAUCUCGAUGCUUGAUCUCACGGAGGAUCUAGUGAAGAAAAAGAAGAAAAAAAGUGAGAAGAAAGAAAAAGAAAAAAGAUAGAGGCCCGAAAUUAAUGGAGAAAGAAAAGCAAAAAAGAGGGCAAGAAAGAAGUCUGAAAAGAAGAAGAUGAAAAAAGAGAGAAUUGAGUCCUUAGUGGACAAUAAGAUAUGGGAGGC